UCCUUCCUUUGAUCAGAAUAGACUCUCCA
This 29-nucleotide non-coding RNA is filed under the name Mus musculus (house mouse). Lineage: Eukaryota; Metazoa; Chordata; Mammalia; Rodentia; Muridae. The record is from RNAcentral.